GACAGCAGUCGCCACGGUAAUACGUAGGGCGCGAGCGUUGUCCGGAAUUAUUGGGCGUAAAGGGCUCGUAGGCGGCUUGUCGCGUCUGCUGUGAAAAUGCGGGGCUUAACUCCGUACGUGCAGUGGGUACGGGCAGGCUAGAGUGCAGAAGAGGAGAGUGGAAUUCCACGUGUAGCGGUGAAAUGCGUAGAGAUGUGGAGGAACACCAGUGGCGAAGGCGACUCUCUGGUCUGUAACUGACGCUGAGGAGCGAAAGUGUGGGGAGCGAACAGGAUUAGAUACCCCCGUAGUCCCUGUCUCUUAUUC
This 306-nucleotide ribosomal RNA is filed under the name uncultured bacterium. Its description in RNAcentral is "partial 16S ribosomal RNA". It matches the Rfam family "Bacterial small subunit ribosomal RNA", at positions 507 to 809 of the family's 1533-position model. The record is from RNAcentral.